This 358-nucleotide transfer RNA is filed under the name uncultured Microcystis sp. Its description in RNAcentral is "partial 16S-23S ribosomal RNA intergenic spacer". The stretch from base 133 to 206 matches the Rfam family "tRNA". Lineage: Bacteria; Bacillati; Cyanobacteriota; Cyanophyceae; Chroococcales; Microcystaceae. The record is from RNAcentral.
AAGGGAGACCUAAUUCAGGUAUGGGACGAAAAAAAAGUAGUCGCUACCAAGAAUCAAUCCCAAAAGGUCGGAGCGAGGUAUGAGGCUUUCAAACUAGGUUCUGGGUUCAUAAAAGACCUGAAUCAGGAACAAGGGCUAUUAGCUCAGGUGGUUAGAGCGCACCCCUGAUAAGGGUGAGGUCCCUGGUUCGAGUCCAGGAUGGCCCACCUGCACAGGUGGCAAAAACAAGAGAAGCGAGGAAUCAGCACCUUAUCUUAUAUACAUAUAUAAGAGAGAAUGCUGGCUCUGAGUACAGAGUCCAGAGGAACCUUGAAAACUGCAUAGAGCUAGGUGAAAAAGCCAAAAAAGAAGACCGCAA